RNAcentral lists this ribosomal RNA (484 nucleotides) under uncultured bacterium. Its description in RNAcentral is "partial 16S ribosomal RNA". It matches the Rfam family "Bacterial small subunit ribosomal RNA", at positions 29 to 507 of the family's 1533-position model. The record is from RNAcentral.
AUCGAACGCUGGCGGCAGGCCUAACACAUGCAAGUCGAACGGAUGAAGCGAGCUUGCUCCUGGAUUCAGCGGCGGAAGGGGGAGAAAUGCCUAUGAGUCUGCCUGGUAGUAGGGGAUAACGUCCUGAAACGGGCGCUGAUACUGCAGACGUCGUGCGGGAGCAAGUGGGGGGUCUUCGGACCGCAUGCUAUGAGAUGAGCCGAGGUCGGACUAGAUAGCUGGUGGGGUAAAGGACUACCAAGGCGACGAUCCGUAACUGGUAUGAGAGGAUGGUCAGUCACAUGGGAAGGGAGACACGGUCCAGACGACUGCGGUACGCAGCAGUCGGGAAUCUUAGGCAAUGGGGGAGAGGCUGAUCCAGCGAUGCGGCGUGUGUGAAGAAGGUGUCAGGAUGGGAAAGCAAUGUAAGUUGGGAGGAAGUGCAGUAAGUUAAUACGUUGCGGUAUUGACGGUACCAGCAGAAGAAGCACCGGCUAACUUCGUG